RNAcentral lists this long non-coding RNA (340 nucleotides) under Mytilus galloprovincialis (Mediterranean mussel). Lineage: Eukaryota; Metazoa; Mollusca; Bivalvia; Mytilida; Mytilidae. The record is from RNAcentral.
CAAAGUAUGAACAAAUUCUAUCAUUUUUAUUUUAGACUCCCAUACCACCUUAAAGGAUGAGAAUGGUUCUAAACAUUUGCCAUCACUUCCCUCUUUUGAUAAAUAAGUAUUCCUCAUUUUAGGCCUGGUCAGAUUGAAAGCAUUUGUCAAAUAUUUUUCAUUUAAAAUGUUAUAAAUGACUUCAUGAAGGGACACAUAAUACUACAUGAAAAAUAACCUCCUGAUUCAAUUAGAAGUUCUGUUUAACUGAUAUAAAAUGAGAUUUUUCGACAGACAGUUAGUAUUCCUAUGAGAACCGACUGUUCACACUGAAAUGUUCCUUUAUUCAUAGGAGACGGCC